Long non-coding RNA from Homo sapiens (human), 818 nucleotides. RefSeq lists it as uncharacterized. Lineage: Eukaryota; Metazoa; Chordata; Mammalia; Primates; Hominidae. The transcript is spliced from 2 exons. The record is from RefSeq and is a predicted model, not a curated record.
CUAAGUGAAUAGGCAGACAAGUAAUUAUGCAAUUACAAUGUGAUGUCACAAUAUUUCAUGAUUCUCUGAAGACAAUUCUAUGGGAAAUUGAAGUCUAAGAUGUCAAACAAUUGAUGCACAAACUUAAUCAAGGUAUACCAAGACCUCUGGCUUCUUCCCAGAAAGCUGCUAAAUAUCAGCAAGGACAUGGCUAGAGAUCUUGAUUCUCGCUUUUUUUGAUGUUUCUAUGAAAGAACCAAGAGAGAUUUCUUCAGCAGACAGUGUUUCCAAUGAGUGAAUUUUCUUUAAUAACUCCAAAUUCUUCAGGGAAAACUUCCACCCACACAGCAGUGAUGACUGCUGGUGCUCUGAGGGAAUUACGGCACAUAGUAAUAAAAGAUGUAUAGAAUUUCUACAUCAGCAACGUGAAGUCCAGCCCAGCACCCUAGUAUGGAGAACAGAUGGAGUUCCAGAAGGUAGAAGCCCAUACCGGAACUGGGGGCAGUGGAGGGGAUGCCAUGUGGAAAAUUGGUUGCCAAACUGAGGCCUCAGAAAUGAAUGUGAAAUAAACCUUCUCCUUCACAAAUAUUGUAGAGAGAGUAGAGCCUAUGAAGUUGGAGGAGGUUGCCACACGGAUUAUACUCAGUAGACACAAAGCAUCUCAACUUACUACAGGAAAACCACCUUUAAUGAAAGCAACCACAGUUCCCACAUUCACCUCUCCCCUUCUUUUCUUGGGUGCUUUCAUUAAUUGCAAGUAAACUUUCAAAGUCAGAGAACUAUCAGCCGUAUAGCCACCUAACGAAAUAAGACAACAAAUAAAUGUGAAUUCAUUUUAA